GAGGCUUUGAAGUGUGGACGCCAGUCUGCAUGGAGCCGACCUUGAAAUACCACCCUUUAAUGUUUGAUGUUCUAACGUAGGCCCCUUAUCGGGGUUGCGGACAGUGUCUGGUGGGUAGUUUGACUGGGGCGGUCUCCUCCUAAAGAGUAACGGAGGAGCACGAAGGUUGGCUAAUCCUGGUCGGACAUCAGGAGGUUAGUGCAAUGGCAUAAGCCAGCUUGACUGCGAGCGUGACGGCGCGAGCAGGUGCGAAAGCAGGUCAUAGUGAUCCGGUGGUUCUGAAUGGAAGGGCCAUCGCUCAACGGAUAAAAGGUACUCCGGGGAUAACAGGCUGAUACCGCCCAAGAGUUCAUAUCGACGGCGGUGUUUGGCACCUCGAUGUCGGCUCAUCACAUCCUGGGGCUGAAGUAGGUCCCAAGGGUAUGGCUGUUCGCCAUUUAAAGUGGUACGCGAGCUGGGUUUAGAACGUCGUGAGACAGUUCGGUCCCUAUCUGCCGUGGGCGCUGGAGAACUGAGGGGGGCUGCUCCUAGUACGAGAGGACCGGAGUGGACGCAUCACUGGUGUUCGGGUUGUCAUGCCAAUGGCACUGCCCGGUAGCUAAAUGCGGAAGAGAUAAGUGCUGAAAGCAUCUAAGCACGAAACUUGCCCCGAGAUGAGUUCUCCCUGACCCUUUAAGGGUCCUGAAGGAACGUUGAAGACGACGACGUUGAUAGGCCGGGUGUGUAAGCGCAGCGAUGCGUUGAGCUAACCGGUACUAAUGAACCGUGAGG
This 771-nucleotide ribosomal RNA is filed under the name Escherichia coli. RNAcentral's name for it is "partial 23S ribosomal RNA". It matches the Rfam family "Bacterial large subunit ribosomal RNA", at positions 2151 to 2916 of the family's 2925-position model. The record is from RNAcentral. Lineage: Bacteria; Pseudomonadati; Pseudomonadota; Gammaproteobacteria; Enterobacterales; Enterobacteriaceae.